UUCUGGUUGAUCCUGCCGGACCUGACUGCUAWCGGAUUGAUACUAAGCCAUGCGAGUCGUUGUAGCAAUACAAGGCAUACGGCUCAGUAACGCGUAGUCAACCUAACCUAUGGACGGGAAUAACCUCGGGAAACUGAGAAUAAUGCCCGAUAGAACAUUAUGCCUGGAAUGGUUUAUGUUCCAAAUGAUUUAUCGCCAUAGGAUGGGACUGCGGCCUAUCAGUUUGUUGGUGAGGUAAUGGCCCACCAAGACUAUUACAGGUACGGGCUCUGAGAGGAGUAGCCCGGAGAUGGGUACUGAGACACGGACCCAGGCCCUAUGGGGCGCAGCAGGCGAGAAAACUUUGCAAUGUGCGAAAGCACGACAAGGUUAAUCCGAGUGAUUUCUGCUAAAGAGAUCUUUUGUUAGUCCUAGAAACACUAACGAAUAAGGGGUGGGCAAGUUCUGGUGUCAGCCGCCGCGGUAAAACCAGCACCUCAAGUGGUCAGGAUGAUUAUUGGGCCUAAAGCAUCCGUAGCCGGCUCUGUAAGUUUUCGGUUAAAUCUGUACGCUCAACGUACAGGCUGCCGGGAAUACUGCAGAACUAGGGAGUGGGAGAGGUAGACGGUACUCGGUAGGAAGUGGUAAAAUGCUUUGAUCUAUCGAUGACCACCUGUGGCGAAGGCGGUCUACCAGAACACGUCCGACGGUGAGGGAUGAAAGCUGGGGGAGCAAACCGGAUUAGAUACCCGGGUAGUCCCAGCUGUAAACUAUGCAAACUCAGUGAUGCAUUGGCUUGUGGCCAAUGCAGUGCUGCAGGGAAGCCGUUAAGUUUGCCGCCUGGGAAGUACGUACGCAAGUAUGAAACUUAAAGGAAUUGGCGGGGGAGCACCACAAGGGGUGAAGCCUGCGGUUCAAUU
RNAcentral lists this ribosomal RNA (899 nucleotides) under uncultured archaeon. RNAcentral describes it as "bacterial SSU rRNA". It matches the Rfam family "Archaeal small subunit ribosomal RNA", at positions 1 to 907 of the family's 1478-position model. The record is from RNAcentral.